UACGUAGGGUGCGAGCGUUAAUCGGAAUUACUGGGCGUAAAGCGUGCGCAGGCGGUUCGUUAUGUCCGAUGUGAAAGCCCCGAGCUCAACUUGGGAAUGGCAUUGGAAGCUGGCGGGCUGGAGUGUGGCAGAGGGGGGUGGAAUUCCACGUGUAGCAGUGAAAUGCGUAGAGAUGUGGAGGAACACCGAUGGCGAAGGCAGCCCCCUGGGCCAACACUGACGCUCAGGCACGAAAGCGUGGGGAGCAAACAGG
RNAcentral lists this ribosomal RNA (253 nucleotides) under uncultured bacterium. Its description in RNAcentral is "partial 16S ribosomal RNA". It matches the Rfam family "Bacterial small subunit ribosomal RNA", at positions 524 to 776 of the family's 1533-position model. The record is from RNAcentral.